This 444-nucleotide ribosomal RNA is filed under the name uncultured bacterium. RNAcentral's name for it is "partial 16S ribosomal RNA". It matches the Rfam family "Bacterial small subunit ribosomal RNA", at positions 354 to 796 of the family's 1533-position model. The record is from RNAcentral.
GUGAGGAAUAUUGGUCAAUGGGCGGGAGCCUGAACCAGCCAAGUCGCGUGAAGGAAGAAGGAUCUAUGGUUCGUAAACUUCUUUUGCAGGGGAAUAAAGUGCAGGACGUGUCCUGUUUUGUAUGUACCCUGAGAAUAAGGAUCGGCUAACUCCGUGCCAGCAGCCGCGGUAAUACGGAGGAUCCGAGCGUUAUCCGGAUUUAUUGGGUUAAAGGGUGCGUAGGUGGUUUGAUAAGUCAGCGGUGAAAGUUUGCAGCUUAACUGUAAAAAUGCCGUUGAAACUGUCGGUCUUGAGUGUAAAUGAGGUAGGCGGAAUGCGUGGUGUAGCGGUGAAAUGCAUAGAUAUCACGCAGAACUCCGAUUGCGAAGGCAGCUUACUAAGCUACAACUGACACUGAAGCACGAAAGCGUGGGGAUCAAACAGGAUUAGAUACCCGAGUAGUCC